AGCAUCUAUACGGUGAACUGCGAAUGGCUCAUUAAAUCAGUUAUCGUUUAUUUGAUAGUACCUUACUACUUGGAUAACCGUGGUAAUUCUAGAGCUAAUACAUGCUAAAAACCCCGACUUCGGAAGGGGUGUAUUUAUUAGAUAAAAAACCAAUGCCCUUCGGGGCUCCUUGGUGAUUCAUAAUAACUUAACGAAUCGCAUGGCCUUGUGCCGGCGAUGGUUCAUUCAAAUUUCUGCCCUAUCAACUUUCGAUGGUAGGAUAGUGGCCUACCAUGGUUUCAACGGGUAACGGGGAAUUAGGGUUCUAUUCCGGAGAGGGAGCCUGAGAAACGGCUACCACAUCCAAGGAAGGCAGCAGGCGCGCAAAUUACCCAAUCCCGACACGGGGAGGUAGUGACAAUAAAUACUGAUACAGGGCUCUUUUGGGUCUUGUAAUUGGAAUGAGUACAAUUUAAAUCCCUUAACGAGGAACAAUUGGAGGGCAAGUCUGGUGCCAGCAGCCGCGGUAAUUCCAGCUCCAAUAGCGUAUAUUAAAGUUGUUGCAGUUAAAAAGCUCGUAGUUGAACCUUGGGCCUGGCUGGCCGGUCCGCCUCACCGCGUGCACUGGUCCGGCCGGGUCUUUCCUUCUGGGGAGCCGCAUGCCCUUCACUGGGUGUGUCGGGGAACCAGGACUUUUACUUUGAAAAAAUUAGAGUGUUCAAAGCAGGCCUAUGCUCGAAUACAUUAGCAUGGAAUAAUAGAAUAGGACGUGUGGUUCUAUUUUGUUGGUUUCUAGGACCGCCGUAAUGAUUAAUAGGGAUAGUCGGGGGCAUCAGUAUUCAAUUGUCAGAGGUGAAAUUCUUGGAUUUAUUGAAGACUAACUACUGCGAAAGCAUUUGCCAAGGAUGUUUUCAUUAAUCAGUGAACGAAAGUUAGGGGAUCGAAGACGAUCAGAUACCGUCGUAGUCUUAACCAUAAACUAUGCCGACUAGGGAUCGGGCGAUGUUAUCUUUUUGACUCGCUCGGCACCUUACGAGAAAUCAAAGUCUUGGGU
This 1033-nucleotide ribosomal RNA is filed under the name Roseodiscus subcarneus. RNAcentral describes it as "SSU rRNA". It matches the Rfam family "Eukaryotic small subunit ribosomal RNA", at positions 68 to 1112 of the family's 1831-position model. The record is from RNAcentral. Lineage: Eukaryota; Fungi; Ascomycota; Leotiomycetes; Helotiales.